UGUUGGCACUACAGGGCAGAUCACUGUGCCUAGUCAAUGAGUCAUUUUAAAGAGGACAGACUUUAGUUGGGAAGUUGAAAAAAAUUGUCCUGGGGGGAGAUGGUGGCUACACUGGAAAGCAAUGCGAUUGUACUUAAUGCCAUUCAGCUGCGCUUGUGGAAAUGGCUAAAAGAAAAUGUCUAGGUAUCCAGAGAAAAGAGGAUGGCCCUGCUGAGGAUGGUCCUGUCCUUCCAGAUGACUGAUUCAGAGUCUAGCCAUACAAGCCUUUGCUGGAUGUGAUAAAGACCCUGAGCUGAACUCAUGCCUGGCUGCCUGCACCGUUCCCAAAGUGGCUGCCUUGCUGAUCAGGAUGCGUGCAGACAUCUGUGCAGAAUAACAAUGUGGAGGAAGCCCUUGCAGAGACUGUUUCUUCGCUCAAGUACUUCACUGCCAUUCAGCGUCACACUCGCAGAAGGCAUGCUCACUUUCCUCCGUGUCAUACUGAAAAGCAUCAGUUGGAAUUGGGAGCUGGAGACACACUAGCAAGGCUGAGCUGGACUGGAGAGCUGGAGUCCUAACACCACCACUAUCGACUCCUCUAUUCCAUCGCUCUUAAGCAGAAGCUCCUGUCGGCUGUCUUGAAAUUCACGCUCAGUUCUUCUCCCCCAAUUUUCCUUCCAUUCUCAGGUAAGAAUGAGUCUUGUGUCAUUGCCUUCUUCUCAAGCCAGUACCUUUCUCUAGUUCUCAUUUGUUCUCGAACCCCAGUAUGAUGUCCUUCCUAUGGCCACCCUUCCAGGACUCUCGUCCUAAGUGCUUGAGUCAUAGGAUCUUUGCAGUUGCAUUGUCUCGAAUGCACCCCAUCCCAUCACCUUCCCACAAUGAUUCUUCAGCUCUGAGUUGGCCAUUCCUUUGUUCACAAAGUCCCAAGCACACAUGUGUCCUCGUGGAACACAGAAGCUGGGGCAGUGUUUUCCCACUGUGUUUUCAGUUGCACGCCACUAUAGUACUGGCCCAAGUGAGAGGUGUCUACAUCUUCAGUGAGGUGAGCAGAGCAUCGAUGCUGCUUGCUGGGUUUGUAGGUAUGCAGAAUGCAGGAGUUAUGGGGUCAUGAAGCCUUACACUGAAGAUCCGGAAAAUAAGCUGGUGAAACCAAGCACUAUAGUAUAUAGCAAUGUUAGAUCCUUUGCAAAAGAACCUGAGAGGUCCUUGCUUGUAACCCUGAAAAUGAAACCUGAGUUGCAAUGGAGACACCAGGACAUAUCACAAACAUGGAACUUCUGCUGAGAAAAGGUGGCAACACUGCGUGGAGCUGCUUCAAGACAGAACUAUACCUAAGCCUACUAGAGACCAGACUAUGCUACCAGAAGACCUAAAUGCUAUAAAUGAAGAGUUGCAAUGGUAUUUGCUCUGCUGGGGUUUGGUCUUGGCUGAACUUUUCUCCCUGUACCCCAUUCCUCUUGAUUGGGAUAUAAAUGUUUCCUCUGUGCCAUGAGACUGUGAUUUUUUUUUGUUAUCUCACAGGGGCUCAUGGCUAUGAGAUUUUGGGGACUUUUGAAGUUAGAUUAAAUAUAUUACAUAUUAUGAGAUGGCCUUUAGCCUAUGGAGGCCAGAGGCUAACUCUUAGCCUUGAGUGUGGACUAUAUCCUACAAGCUCAUGUGCUUGAAUACUCUGUACCCCUUAGGUGAUGCUGUUUUUGAAGUUUGGGGAACCUUUAGGAGGUGGAGUCAGGUUCAAGGGAAUGGGAUGCUUAGGUCAGGGAGCCUUGUGGCCCCCAGUUUCCUUGCAUGUUCUGGCUGCUUCCUGGUUCAUCAAUAUGUGAACAAAUCACUCACCCUCUUACCACCAUGGAACUCUCUCACCCCACCAUGAAAUUGUGAAUCCCCCAAAUCAAUUUCUCCCUGAAGUUGCUGCUUUCCAGUUAUUUGUUACAAUGAUGAGAAAAGUACCUCAUUCCUUCUUUCCCCAUGACAUGUUCACCUACAAAUAGAGACACAGUAUAUACUCACAACUUUAAUAGGUCAUUAGCUGGGGUGGUGGAAAGUUGACGGGCUUUGAUUUUUGUCCUUCAUGUGUUGUCAAUUUCAAAUAAAUUAAGUUAGUCCCAAGAAAACAAAGUCUGAAUUUCACAAUUUUCUGAGAAUUAUUGGAACCAGGUCUUCCACAUGAGAUAUGAGUCUAUAAAUAUUUUCAGUGCCUAAUGCAGUAAUUACAUUUUGGUGCUGAUACACAUGUAAAUGUUUUCAUAUUCCUACCACAUGCAUGUUGGAGUGUACACACAUUUUUCUUUAUUUUUUUUUCGUUCAGAGAAGCACAUAAAAUACAAAUCUCUUUACUUCAAAGUCAGAGCAGAGGAGUUGGAGUUCUAAAUAUUUUCUGAUUUGGAGUGGUGUUCCACGACACUAGCAUGAAACCAACUCUUCAUCAAAGUGGUUUGCUUCAAUCAGGGCUGUACCGAUGCGCUAUAAAUUAUAAAUCAUAUCUUCUGUUUUACAUGGGAAUGGAAGCUUGGAGGUGGCUCGCACUCCAACAGACGGACUUGAGGUAGUUUCAUGUCCUCGGUUGCUUAUGAUUUGCUUCUAAGGUCAUUUUCAAAGACUCUGCCAUUAACUUCAGAGGCAACCCGGCAAGGAGCUUUCAGCAGCUAAGUAUGGGUUUUGGCACGGGUUCUGAUAGUUAAACAAGGCAGCGAGGAAUCACAAACAAGGAGCCAGGAGGGACGAGUGGGAGGGAAAGGUGGCUGGGAGGGAAUGGGGAGAGAGAAAUGACACCCACCGUCAUACUAGUCACCUCUCACUGGGUUCUUGGUUCCUUCCUGGACAAGAAAUGAAAGGGAAGGAGUGCAGAUCUGAGUAGUGACAGGAGUACCAGCAUUUCAGUCUAACCUAUGCUUCUGGUUUUCCCUGGGGCUGUGGGAAAGCUGAAGACCCCAGUCAUCCAUCACAUUCAUGGUCCCACCUUAAGUCCAGGAUCAUUUUAUCUUGAAAUGAUCAAAUAAGACAGCCCCCCCCCCCUCAGAUUGUAGGUAGACUUGAAGGGUGUGUGUGUGGCUACCAUCCAGCCUCCCACAUCCCUUGAGCAUGCUGCUGUCCUGGCUGUGAUCUCUCUCGUGCCCAACUUGUACCUUCUCUUUUGAGAACAGCCCAGGUUGGUGUCCCAUUCACAAUCCCCCUGCCUUAGCUCCCUAAGUGCUGGGUUUUUAGUCCUGUUGCAAUCACUUCGCACUUUCCCUGUGCUCUUUGGAGCCUCUGAAUCUAGUAUCUAAAGUGCUUGCUAAUGGUUGGUACAGCCAGGAUCCUUGGGACUCUGUCUGCUCUGACACCCCGAGGUUCUAGACACCACCGACAGUGCACAUCAUCUCAGUGAGGACCAAAGAAGCUUUGGAAUCAGGUGGACAGAAGACAGUGGCUGCAGAGUAUGUUAUAGAAAACCAGGAGCUGAUAUGAUAAUGGUGGUGAGUAUAUCUGCGCACACGCACAGCCAGGAGUACACUUGUAUGUGAGAAAAGACUGUUUGACCAAGCUGGAUUCCUUGUCUAUGUGCCUGGGCAAGGCAUGGUUUCCCAUAUGUGUUCCUUCCUGCUGUGUUUUAUUGCUUGGGGUGCCCAUCUUCCGCUCUUGGGAGAUACAUUAGUAAUCCGUGUUCCAGAGGUUUACUUUCAAAGUUUUCAAUGACCUGUGGUUAAGUGAGAUCCCAGAAUAUGAAACGGAAAAUUACAGUAAAAAAAAAAUUCUAAGUUUGGAAUUGCGUGCUGUUCUGUGUAGUGUGAUGAAAUCUUUUACCACACCAACCAGGACAUGAAUCACCCCAUAGCCUAGCACAGCAUGCUGCAUGCGUCACAGAGCUGUUAGUCACUCCCUAGCUGUCUCCUUCGUCAGACCAACUGUUGCAUAUCACAGUGCUGUGGAGCUGGUGAUUCAGGUAUGUCCUCCCAAGGGACAAAGAGUGAGUUGGGGGUAUCAGUCAUGUGCCGCACAAACACCCCACUUCUUUCUUCCAUCCAGCACAUGGUAGGUACUCCUCAAGCCCUUUUAAAGUUUUGGCACGGACAAGGGAAUGUAAGCAAAAGUGAUACAUUACUUCCAGGAGGAAGCAUGAUUUUCUACCUCCUUUCCCCACUGCUGCAGAAACAGAAGCACCCAUUGAACACCAGUCUCUGAAUAAAGGAAUCUGUUUGCAGAGCCCCCUGCUGGCCGGUGGUGGACACACAGUACAAAAGAGAAAUCACCACACUGCUUUACAUUUCUGAGCAGGCUUGUUACUGCAGCAUGACACAACCUCUUCUGGCUAAAUAAAUAAUGUACGUGACGUACUUGCUUUUGUAACUCCUAUAACAUAUAGUGUCCGAUGUUUAGUAGGUUCUCAAUAAUAUUUGAUAAAUUAAGCAGUGAAUGUAAACACAUUUAGCUUGAAAAGGAACAGCCAUCCAUCACAUAUAUAAACAAAGUAGCUGCUGUACUAAGGGGAAAUGGGGUUUGGAAUUAGAUAGUGUAGAUAGCGUUUCAAACUGGAACAAAUGUAUGCUUUAAUCAUACCUAUCUCAUUGGUAGGGUUGUGAUUUAAACUAUUGCCUUUAGCAUAUUUAUUUUAUUGAUGCCUUAGUAAUUAAAAAGAAAAGAAAGAAAAGAGAAAAAGAAGGCAGGAAAAAGAAUUAGUAGUUGCUGGUGAUAUAAAACAAGGCAGAAGACUCAGCAGGUGGUAGAGAUAACAGUUUUCUACUCUCAAGGCUUGACUUAAUGUGAGAGCUUGCCCAUUACUCACUAUUCUUAUCUUUUGACUCAUCCCGCUCAGUUAUUUAUUCUCCAAGUAUUUAUUGAGCAGGUAGGUGCUGAGUCCUUGGCUAGGUGGCUGAUUCUCUCCUGAAGCUCAGCUGUGUAAGGUGUUAAGAGCCAGCAUAAGGACUGCCACAGUCAGCUCCAAAGAUUGGUGGGAGGAGGAAUCCAUCAGAUUUGGGACCAAAGACUUGCUUUGUUUCACUACCUUGUAUCUUCUCAUUCCAUAGUUCUCCAGCCCUUCAAUUUCCUUCCCUACAGCUGGUCCUCAACGCCUUUGUCUGGCACAGCAGCUCUCUGAGAGAGAGGAGAGGAAUACAUUGUUCCCAUUUGUAAGGUGAAGAAACUGGCACCAAGAGAAUGAGACAGAGGCCGAAUGAAGACACUGUGGCCAGCAACUUAUGCUCACUGUCAGAGGAGAACAGCUGCUCCAAGCAGGAAAGCUGGUCAGAGACUAGUGACUUCCUCACCUGGUGAAGGUCAUUUGAUGACUCAGUAUCAAAGUCAGCACUAAAAUGAAAACAACAAUAACAAGAAAAGGUAACAAUUGUUGGCAAGAGCCCUGUGUGUUACUGACAGAAAGUUAGAUGGUACAGCCCCUGAGGAUAAACGGUAAGGUGGUACCUCAAAAAAUUAAACGUGACUUACCUGAAGAUACAGAAACUUCAUUCCCACCUGCCAGCGGGUCCAGAGGAACCAGAGAAGAUAUUUGUAAACCUACAUUGUUAACAACGUUAUUUACAUUAUCUAGAAGGCAGAAGCAACCCUUGUCCAUAAUAGGCAAACGGACACACCACAUGGCAUGUACACCUCCCAGGGAAUCUCAUUUCAUUGUUGAAGGAAGAAAAUGCCAGGGCACCCUGCAGCAGAAGGAACAUGGAGGACACUGGGGAGGGGCCAGCUGGACCAGGAUGAGACUCUACUUUGAAAGAAAUGCCACAGAGCUUCUAGAUAUCAAUCACAUACAAGAGGCAGCUGAGGGGUGAGUUCAGCUAAAUAUCCCAUUAAGUUGCCUGUGGUCUUCCCCUCCGCUGAGGAGGAGGGGAAAAAAGCAUUGGGGGGAGAGCACUGGCACUUCAGUAAUCCCUACAAAACUUGGACCUCCCGUGUAGUGCUGGGUGUAGGUAAGGCACAGGAUAACUGGUAUGGAAAGCAGUAUGACAGAGCCUGAAAAUUCUAAACACAGGACUGACAAGUGCUCUGGUGGUCUACCUCUGGGUUUCUAACCCAGACAAUCAAGAGCAGAGAUUCUGGAGGGCAGUCUCUGCACACGUGUUUAUAAUAACACCGUUCGCAAUCGGCCAAAGUUAGAGACAACAGGACAUCCAUGGAUUUAAUGACAUCACCUUGGCCAAGAUUCAGGAAUUCGGGACUCCAAGUUAUCCUGAACAGUCUAAAACCGAAAAUGGAAAGAUGAUUUUGCUUUGAGUCCAUGUGAACUCUGUGGAUGAGGGGAUGGACGCGGAGAACAUCUAUUCUGAGUAGAUGAGUUAAACAUAAAACUCUCAACACCAGUGAGGAAAUCAGAUUCCACGUUCACUUAAACUGUCCGCAGAGACCUUCAUUUUACAAACAAGAAACCCAGUGAAGGAAAGUCUGGCCUGGCAUUCCUUUCAUUUGCAGAUGUUGUGUAUCCUCAUUAUUCAUUGUAAACAGAGAAGGCUCCGUGCCACCUCAGUCAUACUGCAGGAGGAUGUUUUCACCAGCUCAGAAAAGGGGGGAAUGGGUGUAAAAAUAUUUAUGCUGCAUUUUCCAGGACUGUGUUUGAUUUCCUUUUUGGUUUGUUUAUUUUGUGGAAUGAGAGGGAUGGUGCAUCUUAUUUUUACAAGCUUGUAUUGUUACCCCAGGAAUGUUUUGGCAGAUGCAAAAUUAAAAACAAACUUCAUGUUUUCUUCAGUGCCCUUCAGGGCCCGAAAGGACAGGAACAAAGUAUCGUGGUUUGUCAUCAGAGCGCCAGGAAGCCACAAGGAAACGGAGUUUAUGAACCAAAUUGCUCAAAACGGGAAAGAAAUGAAAAAUGUGCAGCAGAUGCUCCCAGACUGGAGAACAAGCCAGAGGAAGGCCCACAGCAAAGCUUAUUGGCCUUCAACAAUAGCUGUUUGCACGCACAUGCGCGCGCAUGCGCACACACACACACACACACACACACACACACACACACACACCAAUUCUCUUCUAUAGUCAUUUCCCUGGGAUUUGAAAUUGAUAACUGUGGACACAAAGACACACUUGGCCUAAUUUGUCAGGCUAUUUGGAGUCAUGGGUGUCACCCUGCAUGUCUGGUAUGUGUACAGAUGGCUCCUGCUGGCUUCAAUAAAAUUGGAAAGCAGAAAGUCUGUAAUUUUUUUUCCAGACCAUUUAAAGGGGUUGCUUGUCAGUGCCCUGGUGUUGAAAUGGGAAUGUUAUACUGACUUUCUGGAAGUGUUCCCCAUGUUUAUAGACUGGUAACACAAUGUGUGGGUGAAAGAGAGAGCGAGCCAAUCAAUACUGUCAUCCAGUCUACUGAGUGCUUCAGCCAAACGUGCCCCCCCCCCGCCCCCGUUUUGCUGGUAAGCAAUGCUCCUGCUUGAUCAUGCAAGCAUUCAUUAAGGCAGCAAUUUCCAAAUCACUUUGCCAUUCUUUUGCAAUAUCCAUCAUUUAUCUACUUUUCAAAGACACUUGGUUUGUUUAAAAAUAAAAUAAAUUACCAGGGAAUCUGAGGCAGGCGGCUUACCUACUUCAAGACAACAUAGGGGAGAUCAUAUAUUACAAACAAAGCAAAGUAACAACAACAACAAUAAUAAUAAUUCUACAAAGUUUACAUUGUAACUCUGAAGAGAAACAAACAACUCACCACUACUACAAAGUAGCUAUCAAAAUUAUCUUGCCUAUCUAAGGUUGGGGAGUUGCAAGUAGGUGUCCACAGGGCAGAUAGAGAUGCUGAAGUAGAGAACAUCUCUGAAGAUGAAGAUGGAAGGGCAGUGGGGAAGGGACUGAACUAACUCUGAUGCCUGUGAAGGCUGUCUCCAUCCUGGAAGUAGACAUUUAUCUUGUGUUAGACCAGUGGUUUUCAACCUUCCCAAUGCUGCUACCCUUUAACACAGCUCCUCAUGUUGUGGUGACAGCCCUCCCCCUCCACCCCCCCCCCGCCGUAUAAUUACUUUGCUAAUACUUCAUAACUGUAAUUUUGCAACUGUUAUGAAUUGUAACGUAAAUAUCUGAUAUGCAGAAUACCUGAUAUGAGACCUACAAAAGGACAGUGAACCCCAGGUUGAGAACUACUGCUUGUAAGAGGUUUAUUAUUAUUUAUUGUUAUUUCUUGGGUGAAGAAAAAGUACUUACCUUCCGAAACUGAUCCCAGACAUGUUUAUUCCUUUUAUUUGGAUACUUGCACUGUGUGUUCCAAAGGGAGAUUAAUAUGUGAUAGUCCCCUUAACAGCUGUUGUUUCUGGAAAAUGUAGAUUCAGGCACUUGGUUUUGUGAUUUUGAGGGUUCUCACAGAGAAGCCGGCUACACAGACAAGCAAAGGAAAGAUUAGAGAAGUCUGUUUGCCCAAAGUCACACUUGGGUAACUCAAAUCAGGCUGCCUAUAAUUUGGGGCAUCUUCUUACUGUCUGCAUUUUGCAGUAUGUUAAACUCGUUUACAUUUGGUGUUUUGUGUCUAGACAAACACGUUUGUCCUGAAAAGUGCUUGCUUUCUCUCGUGAUGGUCUAGUGCUGCCACAGUUCUGCAUCAUGGCCCAAGCUCCAUGAAAUAAAACGAUGACAAUUGUUCUUACAGCUCUAGGCUGACCCUAGGGAACCAGGUUCAGCACCUGAGAGAGAUACAUUCUAAAUGUCUCCCACUCUGUGCCCUGGGACUCUGGAGCUACCCAGGAUGUACCCUUCCUUGGACAAGGGCACAGAAACAG
RNAcentral lists this long non-coding RNA (8639 nucleotides) under Cricetulus griseus (Chinese hamster). RNAcentral's name for it is "lncRNA (ENSCGRG00015038176.1)". Lineage: Eukaryota; Metazoa; Chordata; Mammalia; Rodentia; Cricetidae. The record is from RNAcentral.